AGAUUGAACGCUUAGCGGCAUGCCUAACACAUGCAAGUCGAACGGGUAACAGGCCCUUCGGGGUGCUGACGAGUGGCGGACGGGUAGAGUAAUGUCGUAGGAAUCUACCCACGAGUGGGGGAUAGCCCGGAGAAAUCCGGAUUAAUACCGCAUAUGCCUACGGGUAAAGCGGGGGAUCGUAAGACCUCGCGCUGGUGGAUGAGCCUACGUCCGAUUAGUUAGUUGGUGGGGUAAAGGCCGUACCAAGGCUACGAUCGGUACGCUGGUCUGAGAGGCGAAUUCAGCCGACACUGGGACUGAGACACGGACCCAGACUCCUACGGGAGGCAGC
This 331-nucleotide ribosomal RNA is filed under the name uncultured prokaryote. RNAcentral describes it as "bacterial SSU rRNA". It matches the Rfam family "Bacterial small subunit ribosomal RNA", at positions 26 to 352 of the family's 1533-position model. The record is from RNAcentral.